Cyprinus carpio carpio is the source of this 3437-nucleotide long non-coding RNA. NCBI's taxonomy places the organism in Eukaryota, Metazoa, Chordata, Actinopteri, Cypriniformes, Cyprinidae. The record is from Ensembl.
AUGUGUGUCAAUAGGAGUUUCAGUGCCACAGUUCAACAGCAGAUCUGCUGUUUACACAGGCUAAGUGGUGAUAUCCUUCCUGCUCCUUUCAGCAAAAGUGGAGUCAAGGAGGCAUUCAAAGGUUCAAAAAGGGUGCAUGAAUCAGCCACCAGAGACAACCUGAAGGGUGAGGACCUCUCUGCUCUUCCCACCACUACAAUCAGCCUAAUACCCUGUUAGCUCUUCAAGCUGAACCAGAGUACACAAGAGGACCUGCUGACCACAGACAGAAGCUGCCUCUGACCAUAAACCUCCCCUGAACCAUGGAAGACCGUGUCAGUCAAGCUCAAUACCUUUUCAUCUGAGCUCUGGGAAAGCCUUCUCUUUCGUUGCUGCAAGAUCUCACUUACUCCCACAGGGAGUUUUCAGCAGGUUGUUAGCAGGAGGAAUGUUGGUCACUAUUUGGUCUGUCUGUUAUCACUAGAAUUGGAACACAAACAACACCCAUUUUCAGCCCCUUGUUUUUUCUUUCAAUAUUUGUCAGCAAUAAAGAACAGGAAAUAUAAAAUAAAAAUAUAAAAGCAACAUAUUUUUCUUACACUUUAAAUACAUACACUUUAAACUCUGCUUGUAUAUAAACUGUUCAGCCAUUUUUAUAAAAAUAAAAAUAAAUAAUAAUUAAUACUUUUAUUCAUCAAGAAUACUGAAGUUGAUUAAAAAAAAGUGACAGUCAAGACAUUUAUCAUGUUACAAAAUAUUUAUUUCAAAUAAAUGCUGUUCUUUUUGCACUUUCUAUGCAUCAAAGAACCCAAAAAAAUGUAUCAUGGUUUCCAUAAAAAUAUAAAAAUAUGUUUUUAACAUUGAUAAUAAGAAAUGUUUUCUGAGCACCAAAUAUUGUUGUUUUUACUGUAUGUUUUUAUUUAAAAAUGCAGCCUGGUAAGCAUAAGAGACUUUUUCAAAAACAUUUUUUAAAUCUCUUACCAACUCAGUAUAUGCUAAUAUAAUAAAUUCAUAAAUAUCAUUAAGCUUUGGGGGAGUCAAGCAACAUGAUAUUUUACAACCUAAACUGAACCUAAACUGAAUUUAAAAAAAGAAAAAAGAAAGAAAGAAAGUGAAAAAAAUAAAAAGAAAAGAAAUAAUACUAAAAAUGCUUUUACUAAAAAAAACCCUUUUUUUCUUCAUUAUGAUGUCAUGAAUAAUGCAUCACACAGACAAUUUUGAAUUUAUGCACACCUAAAACAAUUUUUUUUUAUUAUUAUUAAAAAAAAAAUAAAAAGUUGCUUAUUGAAGAAGAGGUGUAUACAAUUUAUGGUAUGUAUGAAUCAUUUGUUAAUGUAUUUUUAAUAAAUGAAAGGAUAUGAAAUUAAAAUUUGCUCAGAAUUUGUUUCUUACAAACAUGCAGCCUUUCACAUCACAAGACAUUAAUUGAUGGACAGGAGUUGUGUGGAUUAUUGUGAUGUUUUUAUCAGCUGUUUGGAUGCUCAUUCUGACGGCACCCAUUCACUGCAGAAGAUCCAUCGGUGAGCAAGUAAUGUAAUGCUAAAUUUCUCUAAAUCUAAUCAGAUGAAGAAACAAACUCAUCUACAUCUUAGAUGGCCUCAGGGUGAGUGAAUAUUCAGCAAGUUUUCAUUUUUGGAUGAACUAUUCCUUGAACAGAAGGGACACAAAAAGAGCAUCAUUUCAUUGAACCUAAUGCGUUUAGUUACAAAAAAGAGUGCAGUGUAUUUCAGAUUUCCUUGACACAUUUUACCAUGUUCUGCAGAAUUCCACAGAUUUGCUCCUCAAAUCAAUGCAGAAAGUCUGAAAAAAAAAAAGAUUCCAUCUGAGUCUAUUACUUAGCAUUAGGAGCCAGGAUUGCUUGUGUGAUACCGCUGUGGUAUACAGUAGAGGCCAGGGUUGCAAGACUGCAAAACACUGUUGAACACACAGGAGAUUAGCAGGAACAUUCCCCUGUACACAAAUGCAGACAUGACAGAUGAUUUUGUUGUGCACCUGACGCAGGGCAAGGGGUGUUCUGCAGGGCUGCUGCCUCUCCCAGCGACACACAACUACAACUGAACAUCCCUUCUGCCAAAUAAUCUGACACACUUUCCCUCUCUCUGCAGUCUAUUGCCGUUUCAGCAUUGUUAGAAAUCAUGUCACUCUGUUCGUCUCUCUCCCUCUCGUACCCACUCCCUUCCCCUCUCUCCACGAGAAGAUGGAUGAAAAGCGGCGGUAUCACGGCUUCUUUUAGUUAAGCUGCAGAAACAGCAUGAGAUUAAUAAAUUCAAUAUGAAUAGAGAGUUAAUGAAAGGAGCCUCUCCCCCUCCCUUUCAGCUGUGUUUUCUGUCGUCUGAGGAGCCUGUAAGUAGCAGCAGUGAAAAGCAGGAGUCAGCAGAAACAGCCCCUGGAUCGCAGACAGACUUUGACCUCUGCAGAUUCCUCUGUGGCAGCUCACUCUGUCAUUCCUCUGCAGUUCCUACCAAUAAACACAUCAACACUUAGAUCUGACACAAUAUGGCACAAUUCUUUUUUUUUUUUUGUAGUCAAAGUACAAACAGUUGUGCAUGAAUUGACUCCAGUAUCGCAUGAAGUUAAGUCAUUGCAUUAUAAGGGGGAAACAACUGGGAAUGUUUUACCAAUGUUACCCUGCUCCCCCCCCCACCCCCCCCCCCACCAUGUAAAAAAUUUACUUUUGAGAGAGUUUAUCUUUUCUUUAUAAUAAAUAAAUUGCAAUCACUUUUUGUUCCAGUGAAAUAAUAAAAUAAAAUAAAAUAAAAUAAAAUAAAAUAAAAUAAAAUAAAAUAAAAUAAAAUAAAAUAAUAUGAACAUUUAGGGAAUCUUAAGAUUUUUUUCUUUUUAGGAAAAUAAUAGUUUUAUUUAACAAGAAGGCAUUAAAUUGUUUAAAGUGACAGUAAAGACUUUCAUAUUAAGGUUUAUAUUUCAAAUAAAUGCUGUUCUUACUGUUCAUCAAAGAAGCUUGUAUUAAAAAGAACUGCAAUUUCCACAAAAAAUAAAUAAUAAUUAAAAAAAAAAUUAAGCAACACAGCCUUUUGAUACAAAUAAUAAAUGUUAUUUGAUCAGCAAAGCAUCAUAUUAAAACGAUUUCUGAAGUAUCAUGUGACACUGAAGACUGGAGUAAUGGCUUUUGAAAAUGGCAGUUUUGCCGAAUAUAUUACAUUUUUAAUUUGCCAUAAUAUUUCACAAUAUUUACUGUAUUAUCAAAUAUAGGGCUUGGUGAGCAUAAGAGACUUCUUUUAGAAACAUUAACCCCAAACUUUUGAAUGAUACUUUUGAAUGAUAAUAACAAACACAUGUAAUGUGUGAAAUAUGUAUUUUAAAAAAGUUUUAAAACUUUUUACAUGGAAGCCAAGACAUAUUCCAUCAUCAGCACAUGCUUAGGUAGGGGACAGAGCCCCUAAGAUUAAAAUCCUUUUGACAUUCAGUCAAAUCUGUGGUGCACAUUACAGAUAUAGUAU